AUUGAACGCUGGCGGCAGGCCUAACACAUGCAAGUCGAACGGUAACAGGAAGAAGCUUGCUUCUUUGCUGACGAGUGGCGGACGGGUGAGUAAUGUCUGGGAAACUGCCUGAUGGAGGGGGAUAACUACUGGAAACGGUAGCUAAUACCGCAUAACGUCGCAAGACCAAAAAGGGGGACCUUCGGGCCUCUUGCCAUCGGAUGUGCCCAGAUGGGAUUAGCUAGUAGGUGGGGUAACGGCUCACCUAGGCGACGAUCCCUAGCUGGUCUGAGAGGAUGACCAGCCACACUUGAACUGAGACACGGUCCAGACUCCUACGGGAGGCAGCAGUGGGGAAUAUUGCACAAUGGGCGCAAGCCUGAUGCAGCCAUGCCGCGUGUAUGAAGAAGGCCUUCGGGUUGUAAAGUACUUUCAGCGGGGAGGAAGGGAGUAAAGUUAAUACCUUUGCUCAUUGACGUUACCCGCAGAAGAAGCACCGGCUAACUCCGUG
RNAcentral lists this ribosomal RNA (490 nucleotides) under uncultured bacterium. Its description in RNAcentral is "partial 16S ribosomal RNA". It matches the Rfam family "Bacterial small subunit ribosomal RNA", at positions 30 to 507 of the family's 1533-position model. The record is from RNAcentral.